AGGGAUGAAAAGGUUGUUUGUUGGUAGACAUGGAGAGGGAUGGUUACAAGGUUUUUCUGAGAGUGCUUGGGGAUUUAAGGUUUCUGUGGGAGAAUGUUUUGAAAGUGAUAAAGAAAGGAAUAACAUAAGACUCGAGACAUCAUGAGAAAUCUAAGAGUUUUUGUAACAAUAUAUGAAAGAGCUUGAUGCAUUGGCUUUUGUUUAUAGAGGGCAAAGGC
Molecule: long non-coding RNA, 218 nt
Filed under: Vigna radiata
Lineage: Eukaryota; Viridiplantae; Streptophyta; Magnoliopsida; Fabales; Fabaceae
Description: long non-coding RNA (VRAD_LNC006322)
Source: RNAcentral